Molecule: long non-coding RNA, 1800 nt
Filed under: Marmota monax (woodchuck)
Lineage: Eukaryota; Metazoa; Chordata; Mammalia; Rodentia; Sciuridae
Source: RNAcentral
GGGGAGGGGAGGGGAGGGGGGAUAGUAGAGGAUAGGAAAGGUAGCAGAAUACAACAGUUACUAAUAGGGAAUUAUGUAAAAAUGUGGAUGUGUAACUGAUGUGAUUCUGCAAUCUGUAUUUGGGGUAAAAUUGGGAGUUCAUAACCCAGUUGAAUCUAAUGUAUGAAAUAUGAUAUGUCAAGAGCUUUGUAAUGUUUUGAACAACCAAUAAAAAAAAGAUAUUCAAACCACCAUACAUCAGAGACAAUGUGGCAGUUUUCAUAAUAAGUGUACAAAUGAGAAGUUAUAUGGUCCUAAAAGUAUUAAAAUUGUAUUCAAGAUUUUCCUAUGGAAAAUAUUUCAUAAACCCAGAUCAGCAUUCUCAAAAAACAGUGAAAUUCUUUAUAUUUGACUCCUUUUAAGUCCUUGGCAUAUAUUUUAAUCCAUACAUAGUUGCAAUAUUCUGUGAGGUCAGAGGGUCUGUUUGACAUCACAUUGAUUCAAAUGCCAUCUACUACUGCUAUAAUCAUAAGCUUCCUAAUGGUCCAUAAUUAAAUUCCAUGGAGCAAAUUGCUAAUAUUUGGGAGACAUAAAGAAAACAACUGGUAUAUCAAGAUGACUGAAUUUUUCAUUUUUAAAUUUUAAUCCAUAAUGGAAAAAAAUUUCAUAAAUAAAGAUUAUCCUGAAUACAAUUGUAGGCACAAAUGUUUUCUGCUGUAAACAAUCCAAUAAAAAUUAACAGAAAUCCUGCUUACUAAGCACUAUUCUAGGAAAUGUGUGAUAGAAAAUUUAAUAUAACAAUGCAGUCAAAGAACUUGAAAAUACUGUUAUCUUAAAAAGAUUAAACUUCUUACAACUUUGUCUACUAUACUAAUUUGCUUAAUGAUACUUUUUCUAAGCAUUCAACAAAUAUUUAUGAAUUAUGCUAUGGAGUUAAUAUUAUUACUUGAUAUGCAUAGAAGGUCAAAAUAUUCUUUUCAUCUUUAAUUGAAAAUAUUAUAGGAUUAGAUAAAUAUCUGAUAGAAUAAAUACUUGGAGCUUACAUUAUAAUAGUAUUUUGACUAUAAAUUAUUUAGAUAUAUUUGUGAUCAAUUACUAAAUGCAUAUGUGUUUUUGUUACAUUUUAUGGUGGCUUUCCAAUUUGUAUUGAAUUUUGGUCAGAAGGUAAGUUUUGUAGGAUUUGGAUUCUUUGGUAUCUAAGAUUUUCUUUAUUGCUAAACAUAUAACUGUUUUUUUUAAAAAAUGUCCCUUAUGUGCUGGAAAAGAAUGCUUGUUUUCUACUUGUUGACUGAAAAAUUCUACAUAUUCUGAGACAAAGUUCGCUGAUUGCAUUUGUUUGUGUGUCUCUCUCUCUGUGUGCAUGGUGCUGGGGAUCAAACCCAGGGCUUGCACAUGUUAUAAACAUUUUAUCACUAAGUUACAUAACCCACCUGCUGAUUGUAUUAUUAUUUUUUCUGACAAUUUUAUCAAUAAAAUUCUGAGACAUACAUCAAAGUAUUUCACUGUGAUUCUGAAUGUACUGUAACAAUAUCUCCUUGUAAUUGUAGCAACUUUGCUUUGUUUAUUUUUAGGAUGUAUUUUAGGUGCAUAUGCAUAUAAGUCUGAUACUUUGAUAAUUUAUCAAUAGAUUUCCAUCCAAUUUAUGCAAUAUACCACUUAUUUUUGGUAAUAAAAGUAAAUUUGAACCAAAAAUUCAUUGAAGAUUUUCUAACAGAGAUUAAAACCUACCAUUAAAAAUCUCCUGACUUUUAUUGUUUACUUUUUGCUUUGUUUUGUUUAAUGAACCUGACUUACAUUGUUUGAGAACUAUGCCACCUAUAG